GCCACCGAAACGACUGUUUUCUCUCCCACCACCACCCCGUCCAUUGUGAAUCCAUCAGAUAGAGGCUGACAGAAGCACCCACCUGUCUGGAGGCUAUGCAGAGGAGAUGGAUCCUGUGCAUUUUGAGCAACAGAUAACCCCUAGUGAGGGUAGAAGUCACUGGCACCAGUCUCCCUGCAUAUAUAGUAUCUCACUGAGCCACGCAUGGCGCUCCCAGGGACCUAGAAUAGCCCCUGCCUGGGCUGACUGGCUCUGCAUUGUUGGAAAAUGACCACCAAUAAUGAGCCACACUAAUGAGCAGGCCGGCCGGCCGCCCUGCAUGCUUCCAUUAAGCAGUGCUGUGAUUCAUGCUCGGUUCUGCAGGAAAUCAUCAUGCCCAAUGCAUUGUGGGUCCAGAGAUGAACUGAUGAAGUCUUUUUAUGGUAUCAGGGAGAUUUGAUCUAU
Molecule: long non-coding RNA, 444 nt
Filed under: Oncorhynchus kisutch (coho salmon)
Lineage: Eukaryota; Metazoa; Chordata; Actinopteri; Salmoniformes; Salmonidae
Description: lncRNA (ENSOKIG00005028943.1)
Source: RNAcentral